CGCCGCGGUUAUACGAGAGGCCCGAGCUGAUAGCCCUCGGCGUAAAGAGUGGUUAAGACAAGAAAGACACUAAAGUCGAACGACUCCAGAGCCGUCAUACGCUUACGAAGUUAAGAAGCCCCACCACGAAAGUGACUUUAAACCAACUGACCCCACGAAAGCUAGGGCA
Molecule: ribosomal RNA, 169 nt
Filed under: Elates ransonnettii (dwarf flathead)
Lineage: Eukaryota; Metazoa; Chordata; Actinopteri; Perciformes; Platycephalidae
Description: partial 12S rRNA
Source: RNAcentral